GAAAGUAAGAAAGGGCGUAUGGCGGAUGCCUAGGCUCACGGAGGCGAUGAAGGACGUGAUAAGCUGCGAUAAGCUUCGGGUAGGUGCAAAUAACCCUUGAUCCGAGGAUUUCCGAAUGGGACAACCUAGCCGUCUGAAGGACGGUUACUAGCACCUAAGUGUUAGAGCUAACGCAGGGAACUGAAACAUCUUAGUACCUGCAGGAAGAGAAAAUAAAUGAAUGAUUCCCCCAGUAGUGGCGAGCGAACGGGGAACAGCCCAAACCGCUGACGUCGUAAGGCGCCAGCGGGGUUGUAGGACCGCGAGAUUGUACUCAAAUGGUGAGUGGAAGUAUCUGGAAAGUUACAUCACAGAAGGUGAUAAUCCUGUACACGAAGCCAGCUGAGACAUAGCGGUAUCCUGAGUAACGCGGGACACGAGGAAUCCUGCGCGAAUCUGCCGGGACCAUCCGGUAAGGCUAAAUACUCCCGUGAGACCGAUAGCGAACGAGUACUGUGAAGGAAAGGUGAAAAGAACCCCGAGCAGGGGAGUGAAAUAGUUCCUGAAACCAUACGCCUACAAGCGGUCGGAGCACAGCAGUGUGUGACGGCGUGCCUUUUGCAUAAUGAUCCUACGAGUUACCGUCACUGGCGAGGUUGAGUACCAUGAGGUACGUAGCCGCAGUGAAAGCGAGCCUGAAUAGGGCGCACAGUCAGUGGGGGUAGACGCGAAACCAAGUGAUCUACACUUGGCCAGGAUGAAGUCCCGGUAACACGGGAUGGAGGUCCGCACCAAUAAGCGUUGAAAAGCUUCUGGAUGAGCCGAGUGUAGGAGUGAAAGGCCAAUCAAACUUGGAGAUAGCUCGUACUCCCCGAAAGGCAUUUAGGUGCCGCGUCGGAUGGUCACCGUGAGAGGUAGAGCGACCGAUAGGACGAGAGGGCUUCACCGCCUAUCGAGUCCUGACGAACUCCGAAUGCUCACGGUCAGCAGUCCGGCAGUAAGGGGGCGGGUGCUAAGGUCCGUCCCCGAGAGGAGAAGAAUCCAGACCGCCGUCUAAGGUCCCGGAGUUCUGCCUGAGUUAGUCUAACGAAGUCUGGUCCCUAUGACAGCUAGGAUGUUGGCUUGGAAGCAGCCAUUCAUUCAAAGAGUGCGUAACAGCUCACUAGUCGAGGGUCCGGGCAUGGAUAAUAAUCGGGUAUAAGGCAGACACCGAAGGCGCGGGAUAGCAUUUAAGAAAGUAUCGGUAGGGGAGCAUACUCACAGCGUCGAAUGGUGUACGUAAGUUAUCCUGGAGCGGUGAGUAAAGCAAAUGUAGGAAUAAGUAACGAUAAGGAGGGUAAGAUUCCCUCCCGCUGUAAGACCAAGGUUUCCCGGGCAAUGCCAAUCAGCCCGGGGUCAGUCGGGUCCUAAGUCUAAGCCGAACGGCGAUGGCGAUGGCAGAGACGGUUAAUAUUCCGUCACUGCCGCAUGGGGCGACGUGGAGACGGAGCAGUGAAACCACCGCGGGGCGACGGAAGUCCCCGUUGAAGAGUGUAGGUAAUGAGGAUGGCAGGCAAAUCCACCAUCUGAGCCGAACUUGACAGUACGGAAUCCUCUUCGGAGGAAUCUGAUAGCGUGGGUAACCAUACUCCCGAGAAAAUCCGCUAAGCUUAACCCAUGCGGCACCCGUACCGCAAACGGACACACGUGGUCGGGUAGAACAUACUAAGGCGUUGAGAGAUUCAUGGUUAAGGAACUAGGCAAAUUGACCCUGUAACUUCGGGAUAAAGGGUCCUCGUGAUGAGCGAGGCGCAGAGAAUAGGUCCAGGCAACUGUUUAACAAAAACACAGGGCUGUGCAAACUCGAAAGAUGAGGUAUACAGCCUGACACCUGCCCGGUGCCGGAAGGUUAAGAGGAGAUGUCACUAGCAAUAGGAAGCAUUGAAUUGAAGCCCCGGUAAACGGCGGCCGUAACUAUAACGGUCCUAAGGUAGCGAAAUUCCUUGUCGGGU
This 1970-nucleotide ribosomal RNA is filed under the name human gut metagenome. RNAcentral describes it as "bacterial LSU rRNA". It matches the Rfam family "Bacterial large subunit ribosomal RNA", at positions 1 to 1977 of the family's 2925-position model. The record is from RNAcentral.